This 293-nucleotide ribosomal RNA is filed under the name Niphargus cf. arbiter PT-2008. Its description in RNAcentral is "partial 12S ribosomal RNA". Lineage: Eukaryota; Metazoa; Arthropoda; Malacostraca; Amphipoda; Niphargidae. The record is from RNAcentral.
UAAUUGUUUUCUAAGGAUUAUGUUUAAAUUUAAAAUAUUUGGCGGCUGUUUAAAUUAAAGGGAUUUGCUUAUUAUCGACACACCUCGUUUUUUAUUAUUUAAUUUUAUUUUUGUAUACCGUCAUCUAGAUAAUUUUUAUAUAAUUAAUUGUGAAAAUAAUGUUCUGUAAAUUAGAUCAAGGUGCAGAUAUGAUUAAUAUUGAGUUAAUGACAAUAAUUUAUUAUUAUACAGAAUUUGUUUAAUUAGUUGAAAAUAGGAGGAUUUAAGUGUAAUAGAAAGGGUUGAAAUUAAAU